This 433-nucleotide ribosomal RNA is filed under the name uncultured bacterium. Its description in RNAcentral is "partial 16S ribosomal RNA". It matches the Rfam family "Bacterial small subunit ribosomal RNA", at positions 29 to 507 of the family's 1533-position model. The record is from RNAcentral.
AACGAACGCUGGCGGCAUGCCUAACACAUGCAAGUCGAACGAGACCUUCGGGUCUAGUGGCGCACGGGCGCGUAACGCGUGGGAACCUGCCCUUAGGUUCGGAAUAACUCCCCGAAAGGGGUGCUAAUACCGGAUAAUGUCUUCGGACCAAAGAUGUAUCGCGUUUGGCUGGGCCCGCGUUGGAUUAGCUAGUUGGUAGGGUAAAAGCCUACCAAGGCGACGAUCCAUAGCUGGUCUGAGAGGAUGCUCAGCCACACUGGGACUGAGACACGGCCCAGAAUCCGACGCGAGGCAGCAGUAGGGAAUAUUGGAGAAGGGGCGCAAGCCUGAUCCAGCAAUGCGGCGUGAGUGAUGAAGGCCUUAGGGUUGUAAAGCUCUUUUACACGGGAUGAUAAUGACAGUACCGGGAGAAUAAGCUCCGGCUAACUACGUG